GGGCUAGCGUUGCUCGGAAUCACUGGGCGUAAAGCGCACGUAGGCGGAUUGUUAAGUCAGGGGUGAAAUCCUGGAGCUCAACUCCAGAACUGCCUUUGAUACUGGCGAUCUCGAGUCCGGGAGAGGUGAGUGGAACUGCGAGUGUAGAGGUGAAAUUCGUAGAUAUUCGCAAGAACACCAGUGGCGAAGGCGGCGCACUGGCCCGGUACUGACGCUGAGGUGCGAAAGCGUGGGGAGCAAACAGG
Molecule: ribosomal RNA, 245 nt
Filed under: uncultured bacterium
Lineage: Bacteria
Description: partial 16S ribosomal RNA
Rfam family: Bacterial small subunit ribosomal RNA
Source: RNAcentral